GGGCGUUUAGCUCAGCCGGUCAGAGCGUCUCGUUUACACCGAGAAGGUCGGGGGUUCGAGCCCCUCAGCGCCUACCA
This 77-nucleotide transfer RNA is filed under the name Candidatus Spyradosoma merdigallinarum. Its description in RNAcentral is "tRNA-Val". It matches the Rfam family "tRNA". Rfam says of the family: Transfer RNA (tRNA) molecules are approximately 80 nucleotides in length. Lineage: Bacteria; Pseudomonadati; Verrucomicrobiota; Opitutia. The record is from RNAcentral.